This is a long non-coding RNA of Stegostoma tigrinum, 429 nucleotides long. RefSeq lists it as uncharacterized. Lineage: Eukaryota; Metazoa; Chordata; Chondrichthyes; Orectolobiformes; Stegostomatidae. The transcript has 3 exons. The record is from RefSeq and is a predicted model, not a curated record.
UUCUCGUUGGUUUGUCGAUAUCAAACUGUGCAAAAACCCUAUUGCUUCCUCAGUCCAAGUGUUGAUCUCGAAAGAAAACUUUCCAUAGCAACAGGCAAAAGGAGAAGAGAAGCCCCACUGGGCCAGAAAGCCACUGAGAAGACAAGUGUGAAUGUUAUUGCCAGGCACUGAGAGUGCAGUGCUGAAAGAUGUACAACAUGAGUGAUCAAGGACAAAGCAGGACAUAACAAGAGGUGGCAGCAGCAGCAAGUAGCUGGAUGCAGGUGUGGCCACAUGUCCCUUGCCGUGAUGAUGACUCAGUGGUUGCUAUUGACUACAACAGAAGCUGUGACAAGCUGUGAGCUGAAUCAUGGAAGGUGAUGAUAUGUUCCAAGCAAAAGCACCUUGCCACAUCCUACUUCACCUUAUCAUCCAACCUCUUCUGAUUAA